Long non-coding RNA from Melanotaenia boesemani (Boeseman's rainbowfish), 523 nucleotides. RefSeq lists it as uncharacterized. NCBI's taxonomy places the organism in Eukaryota, Metazoa, Chordata, Actinopteri, Atheriniformes, Melanotaeniidae. The record is from RefSeq and is a predicted model, not a curated record. The transcript has 4 exons.
ACAGCGCCCGUUCAAGCUCUGUUUCAGACAUGAAGGUUUUUUUUUUUCAGCAUUUUACACUGAUGAUCAUGUUCGUGUUUGCGUAUGGAGCGGCAAUACAUGGUCAAGAUGGGAUUAAAAAACACUUCUUAAAGAACAUUCAAGAAGAAGCCAAAAGUGUGCAUGUGAACUCUUCUGUGCUGGUGCCAAAGAUAUGGCCAAAUCACAAAAAUUGUGUGUUGAAAUUCUUCUGUUUGGCUGAGAAGGCUCUGAAGGACUUCAAAGGGCUAUCAAAACUCACCCGUGUUUUGACGCAAUACAACAACGAAACUGGGGACACCAAUUGCCACUUGCCCAUCAACGGCAGUAGGAUUACACUACAAAGGCUUCUGAAAGCUGUGGUGGAAUGUGCGAACCUAACCAUGAAUAAUUAAGCCUAAUAAAAAUGCCAAAGGACUGGCCUUAAAUACAUCAAAUACAUUCUAUUUAUUAUAAUAUUUAUAUGUUCAGCAGCUUUUGUAUUUAUAAAUAAAUAAAUCUAUUU